CCCUCAAGCCUGUUCCUUGUUGCAGUCCUGAGGGGUAGUUAAAAAAAAAAGCUGGACCAAUAAACAGCAACAGGACCAAUAAAAAAGCUGGCAUCCCUAAGAUAGGUCUUAGACCCUGAGAAGGCUAAGGAGAUUCUGCAAGCUUUGACUGCAACUUACUUAUGAAGCAGAACAUUUCCUGCCUUUUUGUGCCCUGUGAUGAACGUUGGAGCCUGAGGUCCUUUUUUCUCCUUAGUUUAUGUCAUCUCUUGGGGAGAGAUUCUCUGUAGCUGCUAAGCACUUGUUAAAAGAUGUCGGGGCUUCCAGCAAGCCCCUCGUUUGAUCACUCUGGAAAAGUUUCUUUGGAAUCAGAAGCUAGGCCUUAUUAUAGAAAGAUCAGAAGUUGAGUUUGAUUCAUUUAUCUCUGCCUGGCCUAGGGACACGGCUAAAAGAUCUUCAAAAGGCUACAGCUUCUUUUUAUUAUCGAGGAGAAAAGUGAAGCAGCCAGUAAAUUGCCUUCUCUCCAGGCACAAGCCAACUUUGAUUUGCGAUAACGCUGCUUCAGUGUGGGUGAAUCUGGAAAAUACCCCCCAAAUGUUAAUUUCUGUCUUGUAAGUCUUUUUUCUUUUACCUGGAGAAGUGGCUGCUAAUCUUAGCUUUGACAUGUUUAAACCCCUUAACGGGCUCUGGGAAUAAAAUGAAUCAAGGUUUCAACCCAUCUCUGGGAUUCUUUUUCUGUUCCUGGCUAUAGUUUGCAGUGAGGAUGCUUUGAUUCUUUUAAUACCUUUAAAUUAAAGCUUCUGUUUGUUGUUUGGA
Hemicordylus capensis (graceful crag lizard) is the source of this 795-nucleotide long non-coding RNA. RefSeq lists it as uncharacterized. NCBI's taxonomy places the organism in Eukaryota, Metazoa, Chordata, Lepidosauria, Squamata, Cordylidae. The record is from RefSeq and is a predicted model, not a curated record. The transcript is spliced from 2 exons.